This 405-nucleotide unclassified non-coding RNA is filed under the name soil metagenome. RNAcentral describes it as "partial contains 5.8S ribosomal RNA, internal transcribed spacer 2, and large subunit ribosomal RNA". The stretch from base 1 to 121 matches the Rfam family "5.8S ribosomal RNA", at positions 35 to 154 of the family's 154-position model. The record is from RNAcentral.
GAUGAAGAACGUAGUGAAAUGCGAUAAGUAAUGUGAAUUGCAGAAUUCAGUGAAUCAUCGAAUCUUUGAACGCACCUUGCGCCCUUUGGCCAUUCCGAAGGGCAUGCCUGUUUGAGUAUCAUGAACACCUCAACUCUUUAUGGUUUUCCAUGAUGAGCUUGGACUUUGGGGGUUUUGCUGGCCUAUGGUCGGCUCCUCUAAAAUAAAUCAGCUUACCGGUGUUUGGUGGGUAUCAUGGGUGUGAUAACUAUCUACGCUUGUGGUUUUUCCACCAGGUAACCUUCGACAGCGGAGGUUCACUGGAGCUCAUAGAUGUCUCUCCUCAGCGAGGACAGCCCUUUGAAUGUUUGAUCUCAAAUCAGGUAGGACUACCCGCUGAACUUAAGCAUAUCAAUAAGCGGAGGA